AGAGAUGGGUACCUUCCCGCAAGGGAACCGGGAUACAGGUGCUGCAUGGCUGUCGUCAGCUCGUGUCGUGAGAUGUUGGGUUAAGUCCCGCAACGAGCGCAACCCUCAUCUUCAGUUGCCAUCAGGUUAAGCUGGGCACUCUGAAGAAACUGCCGGUGACAAGCCGGAGGAAGGCGGGGAUGACGUCAAGUCCUCAUGGCCUUUAUGGGCUGGGCUACACACGUGCUACAAUGGCGGUGACAAUGGGACGCGAAGGGGCAACCCUUGGCCAAUCUCAAAAAGCCGUCUCAGUUCGGAUUGUCCUCUGCAACUCGAGGGCAUGAAGCUGGAAUCGCUAGUAAUCGCGGAUCAGCACGCCGCGGUGAAUACGUUCCCGGGCCUUGUACACACCGCCCGUCACACCAUGGGAGUUGGUUUUACCCGAAGGCGGCGCGCCAACCGCAAGGAGGCAGCCGACCACGGUAAGGUCAGCGACUGGGGUGAAGUCGUAACAAGGUAACCGUAA
This 505-nucleotide ribosomal RNA is filed under the name uncultured Alphaproteobacteria bacterium. Its description in RNAcentral is "bacterial SSU rRNA". It matches the Rfam family "Bacterial small subunit ribosomal RNA", at positions 1002 to 1505 of the family's 1533-position model. The record is from RNAcentral. Lineage: Bacteria; Pseudomonadati; Pseudomonadota; Alphaproteobacteria.